AUUUCUAGGACUGCAUGCUGAUGAAGUUCAUCAAAGACCGUCGUAUUGGGAUGAAGGCAGAGAAGGCCGAGGCUGUGCUGCUGACACUGACUCUGCUGAAACGGAAUCUCAAAUAUACCAGGAGGACGGCAGCCUGCCUUUGGGUACUCCAGGUCUUCUUCUCUGGUAGAUAAAUGGUCAAAGUCCUUAAAGCUUCAAUCACACUUUAUUGCUUUGUCCAUCUGAUUUAUUCUCAAUGUCAACAGUAUCCAGAAGUAAUACAAAGGUUUCUUUGUAACUUUGGGAGUUCAUAGAAUAUGAAGGAGGUCUACAUUCUGAAGUGGCGCCAAAACAUUUGGCUUGGGUAUAGACAUAUGCUGGUGCCCUUCAUUUAG
Molecule: long non-coding RNA, 374 nt
Organism: Oncorhynchus tshawytscha (Chinook salmon)
Lineage: Eukaryota; Metazoa; Chordata; Actinopteri; Salmoniformes; Salmonidae
Source: Ensembl